Bufo bufo (common toad) is the source of this 683-nucleotide long non-coding RNA. RefSeq lists it as uncharacterized. Lineage: Eukaryota; Metazoa; Chordata; Amphibia; Anura; Bufonidae. The transcript is spliced from 3 exons. The record is from RefSeq and is a predicted model, not a curated record.
UGCACUGGUCGUGUCCUGACCUCCGGCUCUGUGGUCUGCAUCGUGCCCCAGACACAGAAGGAGGGCGCUCUCUGUGCACUGCAGCAAGUCAUCUGUCAGGACAGAAAACAGCAGCUCAGAGCCUGGGGAGAAAAGCUUCACUUCUAAUCACUGUCCGUCUAUAAAUCCAAGAGAAACCAGCUGGAUUCUAUCAUACUUCAUUUUCUUCUGGUUGAAUCUGAAGGUGGCUUUAAGGAAUUUGAAGGUAUACAUUAAUCCGUAUACACGGAAGACGAAAAGGAAGGUGGAAGGCAGUGGCAUACCAAAGGAAGAAGGGUUCUGUAGGAAAGUCAGAAUUGUGCCCUACUUCAAGCUGGACCUUGAUUGUUGCCUCAAUCGACAACCAAUGAUUUUUGUUUGGAGUGCUGCAGGGAUUGCACUUACAGAGCAACCUUUUCUGUGGGCAGCCAGCAGGGAGACCCCGUGCUAUCAGUUUGUAUGUGCAGAAAAUGUUUUUCAGCAGAUUUAAAUGCACCUUAACUUUAACCCCUUAGUGACCACCUAUACGUGUUUUUACGGGAGUCACUAAGGGGCUUUAGGCUGGGCUGCCGCUUUUUUACGGCGGCCCAAUCUAAGCUCUGCACGGGUCCCGCGGGGAGCUGGGACCCGGCUCUCACAUGAGAGCCGCAGCCCUGCUCUAACAG